GAUGAACGCUGGCGGCGCGCCUAACACAUGCAAGUCGAACGAUUAAAGCACCUUCGGGUGUGUAUAAAGUGGCGAACGGCUGAGUAACACGUGGGCAACCUGCCCCUUUCAUUGGGAUAGCCACGGGAAACCGUGGAUAAUACCGAAUACUUCGAGACUUCCGCAUGGAAGACUCGAGAAAGCUCCGGCGGAGAGGGAUGGGCCCGCGGCCUGUUAGCUUGUUGGUGGGGUAACGGCCUACCAAGGCAAUGACGGGUAGCUGGGUUGAGAGACCGACCAGCCAGAUUGGGACUGAGACACGGCCCAGACUCCUACGGGAGGCAGCAGUGGGGAAUCUUGCACAAUGGGCGAAAGCCUGAUGCAGCGACGCCGCGUGCGGGAUGAAGGCCUUCGGGUUGUAAACCGCUUUCAACAGGGACGAGGCGAAAGUGACGGUACCUGCAGAAGAAGCCCCGGCUAACUACGUG
This 467-nucleotide ribosomal RNA is filed under the name uncultured bacterium. RNAcentral's name for it is "partial 16S ribosomal RNA". It matches the Rfam family "Bacterial small subunit ribosomal RNA", at positions 28 to 507 of the family's 1533-position model. The record is from RNAcentral.